AUGGAGAGCAGUGAACCACUCCAGGAUAUAAUGUGUGAGUUCCGUGCUGGUAAGAUGUCUCUUGAGGGAACACGGGUGGUCCCAGACACACGCAAGGGGCUUGUUCGUAUUGGAAAGGGUGAAGAAGGCUUGAUUCAUUUUCAGUGGCUUGACCGUGGACAAAACAUAGUUGAAGAUGAUCAAAUUGUCUUCCCUGAUGAGGCUGUCUUUGAGAAGGUAACAGAAUCUUCUGGAAGGGUGUACAUCUUGAAGUUCAGGCAUGAUAGCAGGAAAUUCUUCCUAUGGAUGCAGGAGACAAAUGCUGAUGGGGACUCGCAAAUAUGCCGCCAAGUUAAUGCCUACAUAAAUCGGCCCUUGGAUGGCGAUGCAAUUUCUAUUGAGGCAGAAAUGUCACACGAGGAUACAGCUGAUGAUGACAUCUCUUCCAGAGCUGGGAAUUUAGUUGAUCAGAGCAUGACCGCUGAUAUGGCUGGUGAAGUGACUUCUGCCGCUGGACCUGUACGACUGGCUGACCUUCAGAGAAUAUUGAGUUCUAUACAACCAUCUGAUGCUACGGCAGAUCCUGAUGCUGGAUUGAGACUAGGAGACAUCUUGAAGCCCGAUUUGAUAUUGCCACUAAUUGAAACUUUGCCCAUCGAACAGUUGGCAUCACAUCUUCCAGAGGGUUCUUGGACUGCUGGUGAUAUUCUUGAGCUGCUGCAAAGUCCUCCUUUGCGACAGCAACUGGAUGCUUUUACUCAUGUGCUGCAGACUGGCCAAAUAGAUCUUGCUCAAUUUGGGGUGGACCCUAGCAAAUAUAAGUUCACAGUUGCCUCAUUCCUGGAGGCAUUGGAAGACUCCGUGGCAAAAGCUUCCACAGAUGGAGGCAAUGAUUCAAAGGCCAAGAAAGACGGUGGAAAUGAUCCCAUGGACGAGAGUUGA
RNAcentral lists this ribosomal RNA (921 nucleotides) under Triticum aestivum (bread wheat). Its description in RNAcentral is "partial small subunit ribosomal RNA". The record is from RNAcentral. Lineage: Eukaryota; Viridiplantae; Streptophyta; Magnoliopsida; Poales; Poaceae.